Molecule: small nucleolar RNA, 77 nt
Filed under: Marmota monax (woodchuck)
Lineage: Eukaryota; Metazoa; Chordata; Mammalia; Rodentia; Sciuridae
Rfam family: Small nucleolar RNA SNORA40
About the family: The snoRNA ACA 40 belongs to the H/ACA family of snoRNAs and guides the pseudouridylation of 28S rRNA subunit at position U4565. NB This family has a high threshold value to exclude a large number of closely related sequences that do not appear to have conserved H and ACA boxes, and may be pseudogenes.
Source: RNAcentral
UGCAAAAAAUAAAUCCUCUUUUGCAAUCCAGAACUCAUUGUUCAGUAUGAAUUCUGAUAUAUAUAUAUAUAUAUAUA